GCCCGCGGGGGCCACACGCUGGGAGCUGCAGGGGCGGGCGCGGGGGCGGCGGCUGGGUGAGGACGCAGGCCUGAGUCAGAGCUGCGGCCCGCGAAGCGAGCCCGGCCUGAGGGCAGCGGCGGGCACUUGGGGGCCACCCCGCCCCGGGCAGCGCCCGCCGGCUCUCGGCUCAGUCCGGCUCAUUCUUCCCGGCCGCCGCCUCGUGCUCCGGAGCUGGGGACCCGGGGGCGGGCAGGAGAGGCCUCGCUCGCCCAGGACCUGCUCGGGGACCCCGCCCGCGCUGGUGAUCGAUCGUCGAGUCCCUAUCACAGGCCUCCUUGGGGUGAGGAAACAGCUGGGGACUAAGGAAAACUCGAGAUCCCAGCAGGGCAGAUUGGCCCUCCACCCCAGGGCCGUGUCCCUGCCUGCAGCCUGAGCCUGGAUUCCAUUUCCAGGCCGACUGGCAACUUGGAAUCAGCUGCGUCCAGUUGGAGCUGAGCUGGUUGGGGCCGGAUGGGACCACCGAUUCCCGAGCCGGGCCUGCGCGAGGGCCCGCCGAGCGCCCUCUAGACCGUGCAGGGGCCUGUAGCCCAGCUACGCCUGCGCAGAAGGAGUCCCGCACCUUUCUCCAAUCAUCAGUCACCUUUCCCCGCGCUCCCCACGCCUCAGGUGGCCCUGCUUCUUUAUUCGUUAUCGCGUAAAUACCCCGAGCCCCUUCCCUUCCCUUCCGGGACGCAGAGCUGAGAUCUGCCCUCCUAUCUCCUGGCUUGGCCGCCUCGCCAACAGACCCGGGCGUCUCGGCGUUUGGCUUGCUGUGCAUCAGCCAAGAGGAACCUGGUUGGGUACCAACUGCACAGGGACACUGCGCUCGGGGCCGCUGACUCUGCGCCACCUGAACCAGUUUGUGGUUUCGAAAACAUCAGGGCUUCCUGCUCCGAGCUGUUCACUGACACUUGGAGUGCGUGGUCCCUGCGGUUUCUGUGGCUCUUCUUUCGGGACAAGCAGUGUUCUUACAGGCGCUUCUUCUCAGGGAGUGUGACCAGGGCUGUUAACUGAGCAGUUGACCAGCAUCUGUAAACUCCUCCAUCUGUGCUGAAAUCUGGUGAUGUAACCGUCUUCAGGAUUAGCGGGGUCUGAGGCCCAGAGGGAAGCAGGAGGCCGCUGUACGCUGGCGGGGACAGUCCUCUGCUCGGUGUCGGGGACGAGGACCCGGGAGACGUGCAGUACGUCCGGUGUGAUGCUCCUGUCACGCCGAUGGGACGUGACACCGGGAACGGAGCCGUGAGGCCCCCGACAGCCAGGGCGGCGCAGCCCGUCUGCAGAGUCCCACCUGCUUCCCUGAAGCCUCUGCACAUCCCCAGGAGAGCGGACCUUCCCUCUCUGUCCAGGACGCAAAUGGAGGCACGUUUCCCCUGCCCGGUGAUGGAAGGGAGUCCAGGAGCCGCGCAGGCUGCUUUCGGAUAAAUUGCUCUUGCAAAAGUCUGGAGGACACUGGGAAAGGGAAGAGACCGGAGGCCCGGAGGCAACUAGAAGCCUGUUCAGAUUUCCGGGAGGGACAGGAGUCCGCCAGCGGUGACGGUGACGGGGAUGGAGCAGCGUGAACGUCUGCGCAGCCGAGUGAACGAAGCAGGGUGUGAGGAGGGCCGUAUUCUGAAUACUUUGCGAUCAAGAUUUUGUUCCAACUUAUGAAACUCUUCUGUACUUCUGGGAUUUUACAGAUUCUAAAUUAUUUCAUAUCAACACUCAUUCCACCUGUUGUACGUGAGGAGAAAAGGUCAGUUCUACAGUAGACAAUCAGCGUAUCAAUCACUCGUGUUGAGAGAGAGUGAAGGUGUACCCACACGGCAGCAGCUGGGUCACUAGGAAGUUGCCACAGGUCAAGGCUUUAGAGACGGCACAGAAAGCAGCUGGAAAACAAGGGCGUCUGUGAAGGGAGCGGGGGCCACUCCAUCCGGCAGCUGACACAGCCAGACCCGUGCGCCGGGCUCCAGUCACCAGCGCAGGUACGUCAGUUAAAUUUAUAUGUAAGCUUGUUGAGGAAAACAACUUCCAAACAAACACAAUGCAAACUAGUGACAGCAUCCAAUACAGGCCGCUGAGGUGGUGCGCUUCGGGCGCCCAAGCCCUCGCCAACCCCUGCGACUCUGAGCCAUCCACCCGGGCGGGGCUCCAACCAUCCGGGGGCAGAAUGACUCAGGCUCCUUUCAGGCUACAGACGCAAGAAAAGGGGCCCUGAGAUGACACCCACCAAUCACCCAAAGCUGUGGUAAACAGCAGGACCCUGCAGGUGCCGAAGACCUCCAGAAACACCGUGCGCGAGGAGGCCCGCCCGUGCAGUGGGGACGGGGGCCCGGCUCCCCGGAGGCCCUCGCUGUCGCCCACAGCUGUAGCAGCUGUCGC
Long non-coding RNA from Balaenoptera musculus (blue whale), 2379 nucleotides. RefSeq lists it as uncharacterized. Lineage: Eukaryota; Metazoa; Chordata; Mammalia; Artiodactyla; Balaenopteridae. The record is from RefSeq and is a predicted model, not a curated record. The transcript has 10 exons.